AGUAACGCGUGGAUAACCUGCCUCACACAGGGGGAUAACAGUUGGAAACGACUGCUAAUACCGCAUAAGCGCACGGCACCGCAUGGUGCAGUGUGAAAAACUCCGGUGGUGUGAGAUGGAUCCGCGUCUGAUUAGCUUGUUGGCGGGUAACGGCCCACCAAGGCGACGAUCAGUAGCCGGCCUGAGAGGGCGACCGGCCACAUUGGGACUGAGACACGGCCCAG
Molecule: ribosomal RNA, 224 nt
Filed under: uncultured bacterium
Lineage: Bacteria
Description: partial 16S ribosomal RNA
Rfam family: Bacterial small subunit ribosomal RNA
Source: RNAcentral